Molecule: ribosomal RNA, 116 nt
Filed under: Bacillus altitudinis
Lineage: Bacteria; Bacillati; Bacillota; Bacilli; Caryophanales; Bacillaceae
Source: RNAcentral
UUGGGUGGCGAUAGCGAAGAGGUCACACCCGUUCCCAUACCGAACACGGAAGUUAAGCUCUUCAGCGCCGAUGGUAGUUGGGGGUUUCCCCCUGUGAGAGUAGGACGCCGCCAAGC